CCCUUAGAUGUUCUGGGCCGCACGCGCGCUACACUGACGAAUGCAACGAGCUUAUAACCUUGGCCGAAAGGUCUGGGUAAUCUCCAAAUUUCGUCGUGAUGGGGAUAGAUUAUUGCAAUUAUUAAUCUUCAACGAGGAAUGCCUAGUAAGCGCAAGUCAUCAGCUUGCGUUGAUUACGUCCCUGCCCUUUGUACACACCGCCCGUCGCUCCUACCGAUUGAAUGGUCCGGUGAAGCGUUCGGACCGUGGCCUUUGGACGGUUCGCCGUCUGUUGGCUGCGGGAAGUUCGUUAAACCUUAUCAUUUAGAGGAAGGAGAANUCGUANC
RNAcentral lists this ribosomal RNA (326 nucleotides) under uncultured eukaryote. RNAcentral describes it as "partial 18S ribosomal RNA". It matches the Rfam family "Eukaryotic small subunit ribosomal RNA", at positions 1470 to 1795 of the family's 1831-position model. The record is from RNAcentral.